GUAGCAGUAGCUCAGUGGUAGAGCCCCCGCUUCGGAUGGGGGGAGACCUGGGUUCGAUUACCAACUGUUUCC
This is a transfer RNA of Toxocara canis (dog roundworm), 72 nucleotides long. It matches the Rfam family "tRNA". From Rfam's summary of the family: Transfer RNA (tRNA) molecules are approximately 80 nucleotides in length. Their secondary structure includes four short double-helical elements and three loops (D, anti-codon, and T loops). The record is from Rfam. NCBI's taxonomy places the organism in Eukaryota, Metazoa, Nematoda, Chromadorea, Rhabditida, Toxocaridae.